ACAUGCAAGUCGAACGUGAAAGUCCUUCGGGAUGAGUAAAGUGGCGCACGGGUGAGUAACACGUGGGUAACCUGCCUUUUAGUGGGGAAUAACUUCGGGAAACCGGAGCUAAUGCCGCAUACGUAAGUAAUUAGAAAGGGGGCGUCCGCAAGGAGCUCUCGCUGAAAGAAGGGCCCGCGUCCUAUUAGCUUGUUGGUGAGGUAAUAGCUUACCAAGGCAACGAUAGGUAUCCGGUCUGAGAGGAUGAUCGGACACACUGGAACUGAGACACGGUCCAGACUCCUACGGGAGGCAGCAGUAGGGAAUAUUGCGCAAUGGGGGAAACCCUGACGCAGCAACGCCGCGUGAGUGAGGAAGGUCUUCGGAUUGUAAAACUCUUUUAUUAGGGAAAAAUGUCCUUUCGGUUAAUACCCGAGAGGAGUGAUGGUACCUAAGGAAUAAGCACCGGCUAACUUCGUGCCAGCAGCCGCGGUAAUACGAAGGGUGCAAGCGUUGUUCGGAAUCAUUGGGCGUAAAGCGCGCGCAGGCGGAUCAGCAAGUCAGAUGUGAAAUCUCGAAGCUCAACUUCGAAACUGCGUCUGAAACUGCUAGUCUAGAAUGUCGGAGGGGGCAGGGGAAUUUCACGUGUAGGGGUAAAAUCCGUAGAGAUGUGAAGGAACACCGGAGGCGAAGGCGCCUGCCUGGACGACUAUUGACGCUGAGGCGCGAAAGCGUGGGGAGCAAACAGGAUUAGAUACCCUGGUAGUCCACGCCGUAAACGAUGAGCACUAGUUAUUGGGG
Molecule: ribosomal RNA, 780 nt
Filed under: uncultured bacterium
Lineage: Bacteria
Description: bacterial SSU rRNA
Rfam family: Bacterial small subunit ribosomal RNA
Source: RNAcentral